RNAcentral lists this ribosomal RNA (492 nucleotides) under uncultured bacterium. Its description in RNAcentral is "partial 16S ribosomal RNA". It matches the Rfam family "Bacterial small subunit ribosomal RNA", at positions 29 to 507 of the family's 1533-position model. The record is from RNAcentral.
AGUGAACGCUGGCGGCAGGCCUAAUACAUGCAAGUCGAACGAACACACAGUAAGAGUGCGCCUCUACGGGUGGCGGCUGACGGAUGGGUGACGCAUACAUAGGAUUCUUAUAUUACGUGGGGGACAUCGUGGGGACAGUUACACUACUGCAGCAUAUGUCCUACGGGUUAGAUCAGGAGUUAUUCAGACCUUGCCUGUCUCUUAUAGCCGAUGCCGCAUUAGCUAGUUGGUUGGGUAAAGGCCCACCAAGGCGACGAUACGUAGCUGAUCUGAGAGGAUGAUCAGCCACACUGGAACUGAGACACGGUCCAGACUCCUACGGGAGGCAGCAGUAGGGAAUAUUGGGCAAUGGGCGCAAGCCUGAUCCAGCCAUGCCGCGUGAGUGAUGAAGGCCUUCGGGUUGUAAAGCCCUUUUGUUGGGGAAGAAAAACAGCAUGUUAAUAUCCCGCUGUUCUGACGGUACCCAAAGAAUAAGCACCGGCUAACUUCGUG